UGAGGAAUAUUGCACAAUGGGGGCAACCCUGAUGCAGCAACGCCGCGUGAGUGAUGAAGCAGUUUAUCUGUGUAAAGCUCUGUUGAUAGGGACGAAAUAUUGGGUUUGUAGCCUGAUUUGACGGUACCUGUUGAGGAAGCUCCGGCUAACUCCGUGCCAGCAGCCGCGGUAAUACGGGGGGAGCAAGCGUUGUCCGGAUUUAUUGGGCGUAAAGGGCAUGUAGGUGGUCUUUUAAGUCAGUUGUUAAAACUAUCGGCUUAACCGGUAAUUGCAAUUGAUACUGGAGGACUUGAAUUUGAGAGGGGAUAGUGGAAUAUCAAGUGUAGCGGUGGAAUGCGUAGAUAUUUGAUAGAACACCUGAGGUGCAGACGACUAUCUGGCUCAUGAUUGACACUGAGAU
RNAcentral lists this ribosomal RNA (400 nucleotides) under uncultured bacterium. RNAcentral describes it as "bacterial SSU rRNA". It matches the Rfam family "Bacterial small subunit ribosomal RNA", at positions 355 to 752 of the family's 1533-position model. The record is from RNAcentral.